This 188-nucleotide non-coding RNA is filed under the name Candidatus Neoarthromitus. The record is from RNAcentral. Lineage: Bacteria; Bacillati; Bacillota; Clostridia; Eubacteriales; Clostridiaceae.
AUGUAGAAUGAUUAUAUAGGUUAAUCAAAUUUUAAUUUUGGUUAUUAAAAGGGAAAUAGGUUAAAAUCCUAUACGGUCCCGCCGCCGUGAUGAGGAGUGUUUAUUUAUAUGCCACUGGAUAAUAUCUGGGAAGGUUAAUAAAUGCAGAGAUACUAAGUCGGAAUACCUGCCUAUGUAAUGGGCUUAUA